CAGCUGUUCCACUGAGAAGCUACAUCAUCUCCAUGCUUUCGGGCAGGGAUUGAAACUUAUCUGAUGGAUCACAUGGAGGCCUCUGCCUCAUUCAGAGCCCUGGACUUGGGCUGGGGAUGAAACAGGGCUAUGUCAAGAAGGAACCUGUUUUAAGAACCCUGCCCUCAUUUGUUACAAAUGUUGGACGGGCAGGAGAUCAUGUCAAAUGCUGCAUAGGGCAGGAGAUCACAUCGGGAAAUCAUGUCAACAGAUUGAACUUGGACUGCAAGUUUUUCUAUCUGUUAUGUAAUUGUUCUCACAUUGUGGCUUACUACCUGUAAUUUAACUUAUAACUUGAGUGACAUCUUUAUCUAGAUUCAAAGACAUUUUAAACCUUGUAAAGAGAAACAGAGCUAGCAGAAACUUUCUGUACAUUUCCCACACCACUCACUAUCAA
Molecule: long non-coding RNA, 436 nt
Organism: Mauremys mutica (yellowpond turtle)
Lineage: Eukaryota; Metazoa; Chordata; Testudines; Geoemydidae
Exons: 3
Source: RefSeq, a predicted model, not a curated record